This 222-nucleotide long non-coding RNA is filed under the name Carica papaya (papaya). RNAcentral describes it as "long non-coding RNA (CPAP_LNC006479)". The record is from RNAcentral. Lineage: Eukaryota; Viridiplantae; Streptophyta; Magnoliopsida; Brassicales; Caricaceae.
GGGUAAUCAUCUUCUUCUCUGGUGCUACUUCUCUUAUCGACAUUGUUCUAUAGUUUUUUAGUCCAUUGGGGGUUAAUUGGAUAAUGGUUGUUUAGGUAAGAGGGAAGAUUGGAGCAUGAAGGGGCAUUCAUGGGGAUAAGCAUUAAAAUAAGAUAUUAGCCUUAUCCCUCUGGUUACCUUAUAAGUUAUUUGGAAGGAAAGAAGAGAAGGUUUUUUGAGGGC